UCCCUGAUAGCUCAAUUGGUAAAGAAUCCACCUGCAAUGUGGGAGACCCUGGGUUCGAUUCCUGAGUGGGGAA
RNAcentral lists this transfer RNA (73 nucleotides) under Bos taurus (domestic cattle). It matches the Rfam family "tRNA". From Rfam's summary of the family: Transfer RNA (tRNA) molecules are approximately 80 nucleotides in length. The record is from Rfam by way of RNAcentral. Lineage: Eukaryota; Metazoa; Chordata; Mammalia; Artiodactyla; Bovidae.